AGCCCAGCCCUGACCCUGCAGCUCUGGGACAGGAUCCCAGCCCAGGAUUCCCAGGUGUUCAUAGUCCCUGCUCAGGACAGAGUACAGACCACUCACCAUGGAGUUUGGGCUCAGCUGGAUUUUCCUUGUUGCUAUUUUAAGAGGUGUCCAGUGUGAUGUGCAGCUGGUGGAGUCUGGGGGAGGCUUUGUGAAGACUGGGGGUUCUCUCAAACUCUCUUGCCUGGCCUCUGGACUCACCUUCACUAACUAUGAUAUGGACUGGGUCCACCAGGGUCCAGGGAAGGGGCUAGAAUGGGUCUCAUACAUUAGGUAUGAUAGUGGUAGCACAUACUAUGCCAACUCUGUGAAAGGCCGAUUCACCAUCUCCAGAGAUGAUGGCAAGAACACGGUCUACCUGCAAAUGAACAACCUGAGAGCUGAGGACACAGCCGUGUAUUAAUUACUGUGCGAGUGGCACAGU
This is a non-coding RNA of Phyllostomus discolor (pale spear-nosed bat), 460 nucleotides long. The record is from the annotation of a RefSeq genome assembly. Lineage: Eukaryota; Metazoa; Chordata; Mammalia; Chiroptera; Phyllostomidae.